CCUACGGGAGGCAGCAGUGAGGAAUAUUGGUCAAUGGACGAGAGUCUGAACCAGCCAAGUAGCGUGAAGGAUGACUGCCCUAUGGGUUGUAAACUUCUUUUAUAUGGGAAUAAAAUGUUCCACGUGUGGGAUUUUGUAUGUACCAUAUGAAUAAGGAUCGGCUAACUCCGUGCCAGCAGCCGCGGUAAUACGGAGGAUUCGAGCGUUAUCCGGAUUUAUUGGGUUUAAAGGGAGCGUAGGUGGAUUGUUAAGUCAGUUGUGAAAGUUUGCGGCUCAACCGUAAAAUUGCAGUUGAAACUGGCAGUCUUGAGUACAGUAGAGGUGGGCGGAAGUCGUGGUGUAGCGGUGAAAUGCUUAGAUAUCACGAAGAACUCCGAUUGCGAAGGCAGUUCACUGGACUGCAACUGACACUGAGGCUCGAAAGUGUGGGUAUCAAACAGGAUUAGAUACCCCAGUAGUC
This 460-nucleotide ribosomal RNA is filed under the name uncultured bacterium. RNAcentral describes it as "partial 16S ribosomal RNA". It matches the Rfam family "Bacterial small subunit ribosomal RNA", at positions 338 to 795 of the family's 1533-position model. The record is from RNAcentral.